AGGAAUAUUGGUCAAUGGACGAGAGUCUGAACCAGCCAAGUAGCGUGAAGGAUGAAGGUCCUACGGAUUGUAAACUUCUUUUAUAAGGGAAUAAACCCUCCCACGUGUGGGAGCUUGUAUGUACCUUAUGAAUAAGCAUCGGCUAACUCCGUGCCAGCAGCCGCGGUAAUACGGAGGAUGCGAGCGUUAUCCGGAUUUAUUGGGUUUAAAGGGAGCGCAGACGGGUCGUUAAGUCAGCUGUGAAAGUUUGGGGCUCAACCUUAAAAUUGCAGUUGAUACUGGCGUCCUUGAGUGCGGUUGAGGUGUGCGGAAUUCGUGGUGUAGCGGUGAAAUGCUUAGAUAUCACGAAGAACUCCGAUUGCGAAGGCAGCACACUAAUCCGUAACUGACGUUCAUGCUCGAAAGUGUGGGUAUCAAACAGGAUUAGAUACCCUGGUAGUCCACACGGUAAACGAUGGAUACUCGCUGUUGGCGAUAUACUGUCAGCGGCUUAGCGAAAGCGUUAAGUAUCCCACCUGGGGAGUACGCCGGCAACGGUGAAACUCAAAGGAAUUGACGGGGGCCCGCACAAGCGGAGGAACAUGUGGUUUAAUUCGAUGAUACGCGAGGAACCUUACCCGGGCUUGAAUUGCAAAGGAAUAAUCUGGAAACAGGUUAGUCUUCGGACCUUUGUGAAGGUGCUGCAUGGUUGUCGUCAGCUCGUGCCGUGAGGUGUCGGCUUAAGUGCCAUAACGAGCGCAACCCUCGCCGCCAGUUACUAACAGUUAAAGCUGAGGACUCUGGCGGGACUGCCAUCGUAAGAUGUGAGGAAGGUGGGGAUGACGUCAAAUCAGCACGGCCCUUACGUCCGGGGCUACACACGUGUUACAAUGGGCGGUACAGAAGGCAGCUACCUGGCGACAGGAUGCCAAUCCCUAAAGCCGCUCUCAGUUCGGACUGGAGUCUGCAACCCGACUCCACGAAGCUGGAUUCGCUAGUAAUCGCGCAUCAGCCACGGCGCGGUGAAUACGUUCCCG
Molecule: ribosomal RNA, 1016 nt
Filed under: uncultured bacterium
Lineage: Bacteria
Description: bacterial SSU rRNA
Rfam family: Bacterial small subunit ribosomal RNA
Source: RNAcentral